This 520-nucleotide ribosomal RNA is filed under the name uncultured bacterium. RNAcentral's name for it is "bacterial SSU rRNA". It matches the Rfam family "Bacterial small subunit ribosomal RNA", at positions 8 to 518 of the family's 1533-position model. The record is from RNAcentral.
AGGGUUCGAUUCUGGCUCAGGAUGAACGCUAGCUACAGGCUUAACACAUGCAAGUCGAGGGGCAGCAUGAUCUUAGCUUGCUAAGAUUGAUGGCGACCGGCGCACGGGUGAGUAACGCGUAUCCAACCUUCCCUAUAGUAGGGAUAGCCCGUAGAAAUGCGGAUUAAUACCCUAUGUUGUAUUUUGAGGACAUCUGACGAAUACCAAAGGUUCACCGCUAUAGGAUGGGGAUGCGUCUGAUUAGGUUGUUGGCGGGGUAACGGCCCACCAAGCCUACGAUCAGUAGGGGUUCUGAGAGGAAGGUCCCCCACAUUGGAACUGAGACACGGUCCAAACUCCUACGGGAGGCAGCAGUGAGGAAUAUUGGUCAAUGGGCGAGAGCCUGAACCAGCCAAGUAGCGUGCAGGAUGACGGCCCUAUGGGUUGUAAACUGCUUUUAUGCGGGGAUAAAGUGAGGGACGUGUCCCUUAUUGUAGGUACCGCAUGAAUAAGGACCGGCUAAUUCCGUGCCAGCCGCAGC